GAUGAACGCUGGCGGCGUGCCUAAUACAUGCAAGUCGAGCGAACAGACGAGGAGCUUGCUCCUCUGACGUUAGCGGCGGACGGGUGAGUAACACGUGGAUAACCUACCUAUAAGACUGGGAUAACUUCGGGAAACCGGAGCUAAUACCGGAUAAUAUAUUGAACCGCAUGGUUCAAUAGUGAAAGACGGUUUUGCUGUCACUUAUAGAUGGAUCCGCGCCGCAUUAGCUAGUUGGUAAGGUAACGGCUUACCAAGGCAACGAUGCGUAGCCGACCUGAGAGGGUGAUCGGCCACACUGGAACUGAGACACGGUCCAGACGCCUACGGGAGGCAGCAGUAGGGAAUCUUCCGCAAUGGGCGAAAGCCUGACGGAGCAACGCCGCGUGAGUGAUGAAGGUCUUCGGAUCGUGAAACUCUGUUAUUAGGGAAGAACAAAUGUGUAAGUAACUAUGCACGUCUUGACGGUACCUAAUCAGAAAGCCACGGCUAACUACGUG
RNAcentral lists this ribosomal RNA (497 nucleotides) under uncultured bacterium. Its description in RNAcentral is "partial 16S ribosomal RNA". It matches the Rfam family "Bacterial small subunit ribosomal RNA", at positions 28 to 507 of the family's 1533-position model. The record is from RNAcentral.